Molecule: transfer RNA, 71 nt
Filed under: Marmota monax (woodchuck)
Lineage: Eukaryota; Metazoa; Chordata; Mammalia; Rodentia; Sciuridae
Description: tRNA.Ala
Source: RNAcentral
AGAUAUAACUCAGUGGUAGAGCUGUUGCUUGGCAUGCAGGAGGCCCUGGGUUCAACACCUAGCACUGUUUA